This 1434-nucleotide long non-coding RNA is filed under the name Dromaius novaehollandiae (emu). Its description in RNAcentral is "lncRNA (ENSDNVG00000002097.1)". The record is from RNAcentral. Lineage: Eukaryota; Metazoa; Chordata; Aves; Casuariiformes; Dromaiidae.
CUGCUGCUUCCCUUCACACUCCCCUUUGGUGACUUUUCACCAUAACCCUCGGGUUCCCUUGAGGUUCUGCGACUGCUUGAUUUGCUUCUGACUGGUCAACUGUACUGUAACAAAAUGAUGCGUUAACCUCAGUAUCCUGCCACGUUUCCUUACGCUUUCAGCAUGGCAGUGCAGAGGAGGGGGCCUUUUAGCUGUUAAUGCCUUUCCAGUUAUUUUAUCAAAAGGAAAAAAAAAAAAAACUGUAAAUGUAGCAAGCUGUGUUUGGAAUGCUUAUUUUCUCCUGUGUCUCUUCUCUGAGACUGGUUAUGUCACUUCGUCACUGUUUUGAAAUGGAUGCUAGGCUCUUAAGAGAGAGGGUUGCUACACUUGAUGUUAAAUGCCUCACUGACUUUUUUUUUUUUUWAAGUUUCCAAUACAUGUAAUAGAUGAAUGACUUUUUUAAAAGAAAAUAUUCAUCUCAGUGGCAUGAAAUAGGUGGAUGGAGGGCAGUGUUUCAAUGAGUAGUUUACAGUUUCACUUUCUGCAGACACUUGAACAUAGGACCGUGUAUCUGUGACAAGCACAUCACAUUGGUGGGAAGCUCCAGAAAAGCAUGAAACGGCCUGGGCGUCAACCGACCCUUUUUCAGUUUGUGUAGAUGUCAGUGUGUUGAAGCGUGCUUUGAGUCUCGUCCGUAGGUUGGCCUGUGUCAGCGACAUUCUCUGCGGGAAGGGGUGCUUGGCAGCACUCCAUCCUUUGAGCCUCCCUGAUGUAGCAUUGUGUGCCUGCAGGGCAUGGCAGCCAGCCUGUGCCCCCUCCGCUGCCCCCAGCCUUGCCUGGUCCCCUUGGGCUUGGAAAUCUUGGAACUGUGACUUGGAAGUGGAUGCUGAGCUUUACCUCGGUAAGGCUGCAGUGGGUAGUCCCGGCCCCAAGGGUUUGCCCUGACCUGCUCAGAUCGUGUGGAUUAGACCUUGGCCUUUCAGUAGCUCACCUGGAACAAAGGGGGUGAUGGUUCGAUGUGCUGGCCCUUCUCAAACUGUGUGUGUCCCAACCUCAGCCUUCUGUUUCCCAAAACUAGAAAGUGUGUGCAACCUUCUUCAGCUGCAUUUAUUGUAGAGACAAACUUAAAAUGACUCAUCACAGACCAUUUAUCACUUGGGAGGAAAAUCUUGUUAAUAUGGCCCGCUGUACAUGAUCCAUCUUCUGUCGAUAGUACAUAAUCUUUGACCCAUGUGCUAGGAUCAUCAUCACAUAUAAAAGGAAAAGAGAAAAAUGUAAAAUACUUGAAUGAGAGCUUGUAUUAUAACAUUAAUAUUAUUCAGAGUAUCUGCUUUCUAGGCUGAUGUGAUUCAUUAUUCUAGUAAUGCUUUAGUCCUUUGUAAUUUGUGGUAAUUAUGCUUUUUCCUUUUUAAUACAAAAAAAUGUAUAAAAAUAAAAACUUCAAAAGACAAUGCA